AUUGAACGCUGGCGGCAUGCUUUACACAUGCAAGUCGAACGGUAACAGGCCUUCGGGUGCUGACGAGUGGCGCACGGGUGCGUAAUGCAUCGGAACGUACCCAGAGGUGGGGGAUAACGCAGCGAAAGCUGUGCUAAUACCGCAUGUGAUCUGAGGAUGAAAGCGGGGGACCGAGCAGCAAUGUUUGGCCUCGCGCCUUUGGAGCGGCCGAUGUCGGAUUAGCUAGUUGGUGGGGUAAAGGCCUACCAAGGCGACGAUCCGUAGCUGGUCUGAGAGGACGACCAGCCACACUGGGACUGAGACACGGCCCAGACUCCUACGGGAGGCAGCAGUGGGGAAUUUUGGACAAUGGGCGCAAGCCUGAUCCAGCAAUGCCGCGUGCGGGAAGAAGGCCUUCGGGUUGUAAACCGCUUUUGGCAGGAACGAAACGGUGUCCGCUAAUACCGGGCGCUAAUGACGGUACCUGCAGAAUAAGCACCGGCUAACUACGUG
RNAcentral lists this ribosomal RNA (492 nucleotides) under uncultured bacterium. RNAcentral describes it as "partial 16S ribosomal RNA". It matches the Rfam family "Bacterial small subunit ribosomal RNA", at positions 29 to 507 of the family's 1533-position model. The record is from RNAcentral.